This 584-nucleotide ribosomal RNA is filed under the name Enterococcus sp. RNAcentral's name for it is "bacterial SSU rRNA". It matches the Rfam family "Bacterial small subunit ribosomal RNA", at positions 56 to 610 of the family's 1533-position model. The record is from RNAcentral. Lineage: Bacteria; Bacillati; Bacillota; Bacilli; Lactobacillales; Enterococcaceae.
UGCAAGUCGUACGCUUCUUUUUCCACCGGAGCUUGCUCCACCGGAAAAAGAGGAGUGGCGAACGGGUGAGUAACACGUGGGUAACCUGCCCAUCAGAAGGGGAUAACACUUGGAAACAGGUGCUAAUACCGUAUAACAAUCGAAACCGCAUGGUUUUGAUUUGAAAGGCGCUUUCGGGUGUCGCUGAUGGAUGGACCCGCGGUGCAUUAGCUAGUUGGUGAGGUAACGGCUCACCAAGGCCACGAUGCAUAGCCGACCUGAGAGGGUGAUCGGCCACAUUGGGACUGAGACACGGCCCAAACUCCUACGGGAGGCAGCAGUAGGGAAUCUUCGGCAAUGGACGAAAGUCUGACCGAGCAACGCCGCGUGAGUGAAGAAGGUUUUCGGAUCGUAAAACUCUGUUGUUAGAGAAGAACAAGGAUGAGAGUAACUGUUCAUCCCUUGACGGUAUCUAACCAGAAAGCCACGGCUAACUACGUGCCAGCAGCCGCGGUAAUACGUAAGUGGCAAGCGUUGUCCGGAUUUAUUGGGCGUAAAGCGAGCGCAGGCGGUUUCUUAAGUCUGAUGUGGAAGCCCCCCGGCUC